RNAcentral lists this ribosomal RNA (520 nucleotides) under Malassezia furfur. Its description in RNAcentral is "eukaryotic LSU rRNA". It matches the Rfam family "Eukaryotic large subunit ribosomal RNA", at positions 90 to 616 of the family's 3401-position model. Lineage: Eukaryota; Fungi; Basidiomycota; Malasseziomycetes; Malasseziales; Malasseziaceae. The record is from RNAcentral.
CGAGUGAGAGGGAAGAGCUCAAAUUUGAAAGCUGGUACCUCCGGUAUCCGCGUUGUAACCUCGAGACACGUUUUCCGUGCGGCGCUAUGGACAAGUUCCUUGGAACAGGACAUCGUAGAGGGUGAAAAUCCCGUACUUGCCAUGGAUGUACCGUGCUUUGCGAUACGUGCUCUAAGAGUCGAGUUGUUUGGGAUUGCAGCUCAAAAUGGGUGGUAGACUCCAUCUAAAGCUAAAUAUCGGGGAGAGACCGAUAGCGAACAAGUACCGUGAGGGAAAGAUGAAAAGCACUUUGGAAAGAGAGUUAAAAAGACGUGAAAUUGUCGAAAGGGAAGCGCUUGAAGUCAGCCAUGCCGCUCAGGACUCAGCCUGGCUUUUGCUUGGUGUAUUUCCUGGGUAGCAAGUCAGCAUUGGUUUGGAUCGUCGGAGAAGCAUAGUCGGAAUGUGGCGCCCUCGGGCGUGUUAUAGCCUUCUAUUGGAUACGACGAUCUAGACCAAGGAACGCAGCGCGCCUUAUGGCGGG